Long non-coding RNA from Dreissena polymorpha, 233 nucleotides. RefSeq lists it as uncharacterized. The transcript has 3 exons. NCBI's taxonomy places the organism in Eukaryota, Metazoa, Mollusca, Bivalvia, Myida, Dreissenidae. The record is from RefSeq and is a predicted model, not a curated record.
GUCCACAUAGUUAUCAGGUCAUAGUGGCUAUGGUGUCCACAUAGUUAUCAGGUCAUAGUGGCUAUGGUGUCCACAUAGUUAUCAGGUCAUAGUGGCUAUGGUGUCCACAUAGUUAUCAGGUCAUAGUGGCUAUGGUGUCCACAUAGUUAUCAGGUCAUAGUGGCUAUGGUGUCCACAUAGUUAUCAGGUCAUAGUGGCUAUGGUGUCCACAUAGUUAUCAGGUCAUAGUGGCU